UUUAUAUGAGAGUUUGAUCCUGGCUCAGGAUGAACGCUGGCGGCGUGCCUAAUACAUGCAAGUCGAACGAGUUCUCGUUGAUGAUCGGUGCUUGCACCGAGAUUCAACAUGGAACGAGUGGCGGACGGGUGAGUAACACGUGGGUAACCUGCCCUUAAGUGGGGGAUAACAUUUGGAAACAGAUGCUAAUACCGCAUAGAUCCAAGAACCGCAUGGUUCUUGGCUGAAAGAUGGCGUAAGCUAUCGCUUUGGAUGGACCCGCGGCGUAUUAGCUAGUUGGUGAGGUAAUGG
Molecule: ribosomal RNA, 291 nt
Filed under: Lacticaseibacillus paracasei
Lineage: Bacteria; Bacillati; Bacillota; Bacilli; Lactobacillales; Lactobacillaceae
Description: Lactobacillus paracasei partial 16S ribosomal RNA
Rfam family: Bacterial small subunit ribosomal RNA
Source: RNAcentral